AUGUCUGGCACCAAUGUGGAGUUGGUGUGUUGGAACGUGAGAGGGCUUAAUAGCCCGGCCAAGAAGAAGGCUCUUAGAGAAUUUGUAGAUUCUAUCAAUGCUGCUAUCAUAUGUAUCCAGGAGACCAAAUUGGCCGUUGUGGACAACUUUACUAUUCUGCAAUGUCUUGGCCCGGCAUAUCAUGGCUUCGCUUAUCUCCCGGUCAAUGUGACAUGUGGAGGCAUUCUGUUAGCAUGGAAAUCUACUCUUGUACACAUCACUAACCUUGCCAAUGACUCAAACUUCAUCAUGGGUUAUGUUACUUCCCUGGUGGGAUCGCCCUAG
This 324-nucleotide ribosomal RNA is filed under the name Triticum aestivum (bread wheat). RNAcentral's name for it is "partial small subunit ribosomal RNA". Lineage: Eukaryota; Viridiplantae; Streptophyta; Magnoliopsida; Poales; Poaceae. The record is from RNAcentral.